CGCCAGACUCCUACGGGAGGCAGCAGUGAGGAAUAUUGGUCAAUGGGCGGGAGCCUGAACCAGCCAUGCCGCGUGAAGGCGAGUGCCCUACGGGCGUUAAACUUCUUUUGUGCGGGAGCAAUAAGGGCCACGUGUGGCCCGAUGAGAGUACCGCACGAAUAAGCAUCGGCUAACUCCGUGCCAGCAGCCGCGGUAAUACGGAGGAUCCGGGCGUUAUCCGGAUUUAUUGGGUUUAAAGGGAGCGUAGGUGGAUUGUUAAGUCAGUUGUGAAAGUGUGCGGCUCAACCGUAAGAUUGCAGUUGAAACUGGCAGUCUUGAGUACAGUAGAGGUGGGCGGAAUUCGUGGUGUAGCGGUGAAAUGCUUAGAUAUCACGGAGAACCCCGAUUGCGAAGGCAGCCUUCCGGCGCCCUACUGACGCUGAGGCACGAAAGGGCGGGGAUCGAACAGGAUUAGAUACCCGGGUAAC
This 467-nucleotide ribosomal RNA is filed under the name uncultured bacterium. RNAcentral describes it as "partial 16S ribosomal RNA". It matches the Rfam family "Bacterial small subunit ribosomal RNA", at positions 329 to 795 of the family's 1533-position model. The record is from RNAcentral.